GAGGGUAUAGCUCAGUGGUAGAGUGUGUGCUUAGCCUGCACGAGGUCCUGGGUUCAAUCCCCAGUGUCUCCA
Molecule: transfer RNA, 72 nt
Filed under: Camelus bactrianus (Bactrian camel)
Lineage: Eukaryota; Metazoa; Chordata; Mammalia; Artiodactyla; Camelidae
Also listed under: 1 other name
Rfam family: tRNA
About the family: Transfer RNA (tRNA) molecules are approximately 80 nucleotides in length. Their secondary structure includes four short double-helical elements and three loops (D, anti-codon, and T loops).
Source: Rfam by way of RNAcentral